GUUAAGCGGAGAGGUGGGACUCGGGGGGUGGAGCCUGGGCGGUAGGGCCUACUGAGGGCGGGGAUCCCAGGGCAGGAUGCGCAGGGCAGGGGCGGUGGGGGAGGGGUAACCCGGCCAAGACGACGGAUACAGAAAGGGGCGGGGCGCAGUGGGACCGAUGAGGAGGGGUCGGCACACCUCGCAUACCUGCAGGCCCAAAUCCGGUCGGCGGCCCAAGAGUGCUCCCUAAAGUGGUCCUCUAAAGGCAGAACCGCUGCGGAGAAGGAAUGAGGAAAACGAGAGGAACGCAUACAAGCUUUGAGGAAGUGGGAAGAUGGGGUAAUGGAGGAGCCACCCUGUAAGGAACAGGCAGGUGUGGCUUCACCAGCACACAGUCCUGAAAAUGUUUCAGUUGUGCCCCCUGCAGAGCCACUGUCGGAGAAGCAGGCCAGCAAAGGUUCGGAUGGGAAGAGCAGGACAGGAAGGUGAAAAGUCCAGCCACACCAUGCAGGGAGAAGACAAAGCCCUGGCUUCCAAAAUAGCAGUCACCACUGGGGCAACGACUCACGGCCCCUCCUGAUCCACCUCUACCUUUGGCCCUCCCACACAGCCUGCAGGCAGCCUGUGUUGACACCACCAAGGACCUCUAGGGCUGAAGGGAGGGAAAAGAGGUCACGGCUAUUUUUCCCCAGCUCCCUCCCUGUGGAGUCACUGCCUCUACAGUCUUCCCAGUUUCCAGUGACCAACCUUCCCUUCUUCCAGGGAUCUGUUACUACCCUUGGGGUACCCUACACUCCACUCCCACCUUUGUAAGAUGACUUUAUUAAACUCUCCUCAGACUACCCUAACUUGAGUAUGUCUUUUGUUUCCUGCCGGGACUCAG
Molecule: long non-coding RNA, 862 nt
Organism: Zalophus californianus (California sea lion)
Lineage: Eukaryota; Metazoa; Chordata; Mammalia; Carnivora; Otariidae
Exons: 3
Source: RefSeq, a predicted model, not a curated record